This 482-nucleotide ribosomal RNA is filed under the name uncultured bacterium. Its description in RNAcentral is "partial 16S ribosomal RNA". It matches the Rfam family "Bacterial small subunit ribosomal RNA", at positions 30 to 507 of the family's 1533-position model. The record is from RNAcentral.
AUUGAACGCUGGCGGCAUGCUUUACACAUGCAAGUCGAACGGCAGCGCGGGGCAACCUGGCGGCGAGUGGCGAACGGGUGAGUAAUACAUCGGAACGUACCCAGAAGUGGGGGAUAACGUAGCGAAAGUUACGCUAAUACCGCAUACGUUCUACGGAAGAAAGUGGGGGACCUUCGGGCCUCAUGCUUUUGGAGCGGCCGAUGUCUGAUUAGCUAGUUGGUGAGGUAAAGGCUCACCAAGGCGACGAUCAGUAGCGGGUCUGAGAGGACGACCAGCCACACUGGGACUGAGACACGGCCCAGACUCCUACGGGAGGCAGCAGUGGGGAAUUUUGGACAAUGGGCGCAAGCCUGAUCCAGCAAUGCCGCGUGAGUGAAGAAGGCCUUCGGGUUGUAAAGCUCUUUUGUCAGGGAAGAAACGGCUGAGGAUAAUACCUUCGGCUAAUGACGGUACCUGAAGAAUAAGCACCGGCUAACUACGUG